RNAcentral lists this ribosomal RNA (469 nucleotides) under uncultured bacterium. RNAcentral's name for it is "bacterial SSU rRNA". It matches the Rfam family "Bacterial small subunit ribosomal RNA", at positions 28 to 507 of the family's 1533-position model. The record is from RNAcentral.
GACGAACGCUGGCGGCGUGCCUAACACAUGCAAGUCGAACGGGGUAGUUCCUUCGGGGACUACUUAGUGGCGAACGGGUGAGUAACGCGUGAGAAACCUGCCUUUCAGUGGGGGACAACAGUUGGAAACGACUGCUAAUACCGCAUAAUGUUUCGAGAGGGCAUCCUUUUGAAACCAAAGCUUUAUGUGCUGAAAGAUGGUCUCGCGUCUGAUUAGCUAGUUGGUGAGGUAACGGCUCACCAAGUCGACGAUCAGUAGCCGGUCUGAGAGGAUGGACGGCCACAUUGGGACUGAGAUACGGCCCAGACUCCUACGGGAGGCAGCAGUGGGGAAUAUUGGGCAAUGGGGGAAACCCUGACCCAGCAACGCCGCGUGAAGGAAGAAGGCCUUCGGGUUGGUAAACUUACUUUUACCUAGGGACGAACACAAUAGACGGUACCUGGAGAAAAAGACAACGGCUAACUACGUG